RNAcentral lists this ribosomal RNA (374 nucleotides) under uncultured organism. RNAcentral describes it as "bacterial SSU rRNA". It matches the Rfam family "Bacterial small subunit ribosomal RNA", at positions 526 to 896 of the family's 1533-position model. The record is from RNAcentral.
CGUAGGGUCCGAGCGUUGUCCGGAAUUAUUGGGCGUAAAGGGCUUGUAGGCGGUUUGUCGCGUCGGAAGUGAAAACUCAGGGCUUAACCCUGAGCCUGCUUCCGAUACGGGCAAACUAGAGGGAUGCAGGGGGAGAACGGAAUUCCUGGUGGAGCGGUGGAAUGCGCAGAUAUCAGGAGGAACACCGGUGGCGAAGGCGGUUCUCUGGGCAUUUCCUGACGCUGAGAAGCGAAAGCGUGGGGAGCAAACAGGCUUAGAUACCCUGGUAGUCCACGCCGUAAACGGUGGGCACUAGGUGUGGGGAACAUUCCACGUUCUCCGUGCCGCAGCUAACGCAUUAAGUGCCCCGCCUGGGGAGUACGGCCGCAAGGCUA